Long non-coding RNA from Piliocolobus tephrosceles (Ugandan red Colobus), 3070 nucleotides. The record is from Ensembl. Lineage: Eukaryota; Metazoa; Chordata; Mammalia; Primates; Cercopithecidae.
AUAAUGAGAAUUUAAAAAAUACUUUUUCUAAAAAUACAAAUAAUAUAAAUCAUAUACAUAGUAAGAAAAAUAUUGAAGUUAAAAAUGAUAUAACCAUAUCGAAUGAUAAAUACCAUAACCAGAAUAAAUCAUUUUUUAAACAAUUCAAAUAAAAUUAGAGAAAAACAAUAUAAUAUAAUAUUGAAUGACAAAGAAAUAGAUAAAAAAUCAAAAGGGAAAGAAGAGUUUGGGAAUUAUAAUUAUGACACUGAUAAAGAAAAAAAAAAACGAAUUAGGUACUAGACAACAUGGUACUAGCCAUUAUGAAAAUAGACAGCAUGAUAGUAGACAUUAUGGUAAUAAUCUGUUAAAUGUUAAUCGAAAUGAUAAAAUAGAAGAAAGUAUAAAUAAUAGUAUGUGUAUCGAUUUAAGUGAUAGUAUUUGUAACAGUGUAAAUAAUAGUAUUAAUGAAAGUUUCAGUAGUAGUAUUGGUGACAAUCUUUCUAACACCAUGAAUAAUAUAAAAAAUAGUAUUAACAAUAUUAAUAACAAUUUUAAUAAUAACAUGAAUGAUAAAAGUAAUUCCAUAAAUCAAGGUUCUACAUUCAAAUCAGGUGGUAAUAAAAUAGCCAGUUUUGUAAAUUACGAUAAUAAUUUAGAGUUAAAAAAUAAAAAUGAUACCAAUAUAUAUAAUAAUAACUUAUCAAUAAUAAAUAAUAAAAAAGAAAAUGUAGAAAAAAAAAUAUAGAACAAUAUAGAAAUGCAAAUGCUACAAAUAUUAAUAAAAUAACAAACGAAAAAACGAGCGAAACAGCAAAUGGAGUAACAAACGAAAAAACAUAUUACAACAAUAAUGGUAGAGAAAAUGAUAAAAAAUUAACUAACGAAAUGUUAGAAAGUAAAUCAAAUAUUUUGAAUUCAUCUGAUAAAUAUAAUUAUGAACAGUUAACUAACAGUAUAAAUAAUAAAAUAAAUGAUAAAAUGAAUAACCACAAUUUAAAUGAUAGUAUUAUUAAUAAAAAUAGUUCACCAAAACAUGAAAGUGAAAAAGGUAACAAACAUGGUAAACAAACAACAAGUAAUAAUAAAGACUUAACACGUAAAAGUAAUUCAAUAAAACAUCCAAAAAGUGAUAUAAAAAGAAUUAAUGAUAUGAACAAUUCAGAUAAAUAUAUGACAACAUCAGUUGAUAGUUUUGCAUCUGAAUUUUCAAACACAAUUAACCAAUUAAAAAAUAGUAUAUUGAAUGAAAAUGAAAGUUUAAUAGGUUCACAAUCUAAUUUAGAUGUAUCUAUAUACAGUAUUGCAGAAUCAAAAAAUCAAACAGAUUUAAUGAAAAGUUCAUUAAUAUAUAAAGAUAUUCAAAAAAAGUCAUCUUAUUAUUUAAAAGAAUCGAUUAAAAAUCAAAUGAAUAUAAAUAAUGUCACAUGUAAUGACAGAAACAGUUUCUCAAACAAUAAAAGUAAUUUACAUAUUAAUUCGAUUCACAAUAAUAUAAAUGAAAAUAAUAUGAACGGGUCAUAUAAUAAUAAGUUAGACAAAUCAAACAAAUAUUUAAUAGUAUCGAAAUAUAAUAAUAGUAAUUCUAAAACAAUAAAUAACGAAUUAACAUGUUCUAACAAUAAGUCAAAACAUGAAAUAUUAAAAUUGAGUAAUAACAAUACGAGUUAUAAUAAUAAUCAUGAUUCAAAAAGUCAUGUGUUGAAAUCUUCAAACAACGUAACAAAUACAAACAACUUAAGAGAUACAAACAACUUAAGAGAUACAAACAAUUUAACAGAAUCACAUUUGAGAAGCUCGAAAAAUAAUUAUAAUAAAAAAGAAUUAAACAAUUCAACUACCUCAUUAUAUGAUAAUAAACAAAAUGUAAACAGAAAUGUCGUAUUAAAUGAAUACAGUUUAUCCAACAAAAAUAAAAACAAUUAUAAUUUAAAUAAAAGUGAAGAUAUAUACAAAGAAAAAAAUAUUAAUUCUCAUGAACAAUUUAAUAAAUCAAUAAAUAAUGAAGAAGAACAAAAUAUAAACUUAAAUUUAUUACACCAAUCUAUAAAAAAUAUACAAGAACAAUGGAAGCAUAAAAUGUCAGAGAGUACUAAUACUUUAUUAAAUGCUAAAAGUAAAAAGUACAAUACACAGAAUGUUAAUUCGAAUUUUGAAAAUGGUACUAGUACGAAUGAAUUUAAGGAUAGUGAACUGAAACAUAGUCGUAAUAAUAUGGGAAAUAGUAUGGGAAAUAAUAUGGGAAAUAAUAUGGGAAAUAGUAUGGGGAAUAGUAUGGGAAAUAGUAUGGACAACAGUGUGAGAGGACCCGAAUCAAAUUAUUCAUAUAAUCAUGAAAAUCCAAAUCAUUCAAACGUUUUUUAUGAUUUAUCAAAAUCAAAUACAUGUUCUCAAAAUUAUAUGAAUAGUUAUAAUUUCAAUAUAUCUAAUAAUACACAUAUAAGUAAUUCUAAUUUGGCUAGCUGUAAUGGAAACUCAAAUAAAUUAACAGAAAAUGGCAACUUCCAAUCUAAUAAUGGAAUUACAAAAUUAUUAAUGAAUGAACAAUUCGUUAAUGUUGAUUUGCAUAUAUCUUAUACUGAAAAUGAAAUACAAAAUAAGAUAAAAGAUUUUGACAAGUACAUAAGUGAAGCUUUUGAAAGUAAAUGUAAUAAAGUUCUAAACAAAAUUGAAAACUUGCUUGCUUGUAGUUUUUUUAGAGACCAGUAAAAAAAGGAAUUGGCUAAAAAGUACACGGAUGUUCCAAAAAAAAAAAAAAAAAAAAAAAAAAUGGACAAGUAAAAAAUGGACAAGUAAAAAAUGGACAAGUAAAAAAUGGACAAGUAAAAAAUGGAUAAGUGAAAAAAGAACAAGUAAAAAAUGGAUAAGUGAAAAAAGGAUAAGUGACAAAUGGAUAAGUGACAAAUGGAUAAGUGACAAAUGGAUAAGUGAAAAAUAAUGAAGUAAAAAAAAAAAAAAGUUAUUUUAUUUAAUGCAGUUUGUUUUUACAUUCAUCUAUGUGUGCAUAUACUUAUGUAUGUAUCUCUGCAGAAGCAUAUACAUUUUACCAUUUGUGAAUAAAUAUUUUUUUUCCUUAUAAAUAACUGUCUUA